RNAcentral lists this ribosomal RNA (424 nucleotides) under Fusobacteriota bacterium. RNAcentral describes it as "Fusobacteria bacterium partial 16S ribosomal RNA". It matches the Rfam family "Bacterial small subunit ribosomal RNA", at positions 355 to 776 of the family's 1533-position model. The record is from RNAcentral. Lineage: Bacteria; Fusobacteriati; Fusobacteriota.
UGAGGAAUAUUGGUCAAUGGGCGAUAGCCUGAACCAGCCAAGUAGCGUGAAGGAUGAAGGCUCUAUGGGUCGUAAACUUCUUUUAUAUAAGAAUAAAGUGCAGUAUGUAUACUGUUUUGUAUGUAUUAUAUGAAUAAGGAUCGGCUAACUCCGUGCCAGCAGCCGCGGUAAUACGGAGGAUCCGAGCGUUAUCCGGAUUUAUUGGGUUUAAAGGGAGCGUAGGUGGACUGGUAAGUCAGUUGUGAAAGUUUGCGGCUCAACCGUAAAAUUGCAGUUGAUACUGUCAGUCUUGAGUACAGUAGAGGUGGGCGGAAUUCGUGGUGUAGCGGUGAAAUGCUUAGAUAUCACGAAGAACUCCGAUUGCGAAGGCAGCUCACGGGACUGCAACUGACACUGAUGCUCGAAAGUGUGGGUAUCAAACAGG